RNAcentral lists this unclassified non-coding RNA (128 nucleotides) under Gracilariopsis sp. The record is from RNAcentral. Lineage: Eukaryota; Rhodophyta; Florideophyceae; Gracilariales; Gracilariaceae.
AUGUUUGGGGGAAAGAGGGAUUCACGUCUCUUGAUCUUCUUUUCUUUACGCGCAUAACUUAUUCUUUUUUUUUAUUAUUUACAAACCCUUUACAUAAACUAUUCUAAAUUGUUGGAGAAACUAAAAAU